GACAGAGGAGGCAAGCGUUGUUCGGAAUCACUGGGCUUAAAGCGCGUGUAGGCGGCCCCGUAAGUGCCUUGUGAAAUCCCCCGUCUCAACCGGGGAAUGGCUCGGCAUACUGCGGGGCUUGAGGCCGGGAGAGGUGCCUGGAACUCUAGGUGGAGCGGUGAAAUGCGUAGAUAUCUAGAGGAACGCCUGAGGCGAAAGCGGGGCACUGGGCCGGUUCUGACGCUGAUACGCGAAAGCGUGGGGAGCAAACAGG
RNAcentral lists this ribosomal RNA (253 nucleotides) under uncultured bacterium. RNAcentral's name for it is "partial 16S ribosomal RNA". It matches the Rfam family "Bacterial small subunit ribosomal RNA", at positions 524 to 776 of the family's 1533-position model. The record is from RNAcentral.